RNAcentral lists this long non-coding RNA (266 nucleotides) under Elaeis guineensis (African oil palm). Its description in RNAcentral is "long non-coding RNA (EGUI_LNC042715)". The record is from RNAcentral. Lineage: Eukaryota; Viridiplantae; Streptophyta; Magnoliopsida; Arecales; Arecaceae.
UGCGGAGUAUUAUAUUCGCUCUUCCUAAAAAGAAAUUUCAUCCUCAAAAUUUUUCUUACCUAGAUCCUCAAAAAUUCAAGAUUACUUUAACCUCAAAUAAUGUCAUCCUCUAAUUUUAAAAUUUAAUCUUUCAUCAUAAUAUCUUUCAAAUCAAAUUACUAUUCUAACUAGUUUAAAAAUUAAUUCAGACCACUAUGCUUUUACUGUAUACUCUGAUUCAAAUUCAUCAAUGUACUUAUAUUAAAUCUAAGUUUUUAAGUUAUGUC